This 251-nucleotide ribosomal RNA is filed under the name uncultured bacterium. RNAcentral's name for it is "partial 16S ribosomal RNA". It matches the Rfam family "Bacterial small subunit ribosomal RNA", at positions 525 to 775 of the family's 1533-position model. The record is from RNAcentral. RNAcentral also lists the same sequence under 1 other name.
ACGUAGGUGGCGAGCGUUGUCCGGAUUUACUGGGCGUAAAGGGAGCGUAGGCGGACUUUUAAGUGAGAUGUGAAAUACCCGGGCUCAACUUGGGUGCUGCAUUUCAAACUGGAAGUCUAGAGUGCAGGAGAGGAGAAUGGAAUUCCUAGUGUAGCGGUGAAAUGCGUAGAGAUUAGGAAGAACACCAGUGGCGAAGGCGAUUCUCUGGACUGUAACUGACGCUGAGGCUCGAAAGCGUGGGGAGCAAACAG